RNAcentral lists this signal recognition particle RNA (301 nucleotides) under Vombatus ursinus (common wombat). RNAcentral describes it as "Metazoan signal recognition particle RNA (ENSVURG00010004998.1)". It matches the Rfam family "Metazoan signal recognition particle RNA". Rfam says of the family: The signal recognition particle (SRP) is a universally conserved ribonucleoprotein. It is involved in the co-translational targeting of proteins to membranes. Lineage: Eukaryota; Metazoa; Chordata; Mammalia; Diprotodontia; Vombatidae. The record is from Rfam by way of RNAcentral.
ACUGGGCAUAGUGGCAUACUUUUGUAAUCCCUACUAUUGGGGAAGUUAAGGCUGGCAGAUCUCUUUAGCUCAGGAGUUCUGACUUGCCGUGGACUAAGAGCUGAUUGGGUGUCUGUAAUAUCUGGAAUCAUGUGGUGAUGGGGGUGGAGAUGGAGAAGAACCAAUUUUCCUAAGGAAGGCUGAAUCAGCCCAGGUCAGAGAUAGAGCAGGUCAAAGCUUCUACGCCGAUCAGUAGUGAGAUCAGGCCCAUGAGUGGCCCUCGGACUUCUGUCCUGGGCAGUAUAGGGAGUCCCAGUCUCAA